Molecule: long non-coding RNA, 690 nt
Filed under: Homo sapiens (human)
Lineage: Eukaryota; Metazoa; Chordata; Mammalia; Primates; Hominidae
Description: HSALNT0399105
Source: RNAcentral
AACUGUUCCAGAUUAAAGGAUACUAAAGAGACAUGACAACUACAUGCAACAUGUAAUCCCAAACUAGAAAAAAAGCUGUAAAGGACAUUACUGGGACUGAACAAAAUACAGACUACAGGUUCUGGGAAUUCAGCAGUGAUGAGGAGGUAGUCCUUACUCUCAUGGAACUUGCAAUCUGGUCAGAGAGAGAGAUCCCCAACACGUAGAGACGUAUAUAUAUGGUGUGUCAGGUGACGAGAAACGCUAAAACAAUCCUGAGAUGAGGAGGCUGAGGCCAAAGGAAAGACUAAGACCUGCCCAUGGACACAUGUUGGCAAAGACCAAGCAGGAACUCGAGCCAGUUUACCUGAAACCAAGGUCCAGGCAUUUGUGAAGAGUUGAUGGUCUUGCCUGGAAUGCCCAACCCCAUGUCCUGGACGUCUUUCGACUGGACUGCCCAGACCUCAGAGCAGGGUCUGUGUUGACUCACCUCAUGUCUCCAGCUCUCCCAGCUCUCAGGGCCUUGCACAGAGAAAAUGCUAACUUAACCUUGGUUUGCUGAAGGAACAAACCAGUUCUCCAGCACCUUGGCUUCAGACAGUUGCAGAUGUUUGCAGAAGACUCCUUGGACAUGGAAAGGUGAGUGCUGAGAGGACAUGGGCAGGACAAUGACCAGGUGGGGUGACACAAUGCAGUAUGUGAGGACUAGCA